RNAcentral lists this ribosomal RNA (301 nucleotides) under uncultured bacterium. RNAcentral describes it as "partial 16S ribosomal RNA". It matches the Rfam family "Bacterial small subunit ribosomal RNA", at positions 509 to 807 of the family's 1533-position model. The record is from RNAcentral.
CAGUCGCCGCGGUAAUACGAAGGGUGCAAGCGUUAAUCGGAAUUACUGGGCGUAAAGCGUGCGUAGGCGGAGAGUUAAGUCUGCUGUGAAAUCCCCGGGCUCAACCUGGGAAUGGCAGUGGAUACUGGCUCGCUAGAGUGUGUCAGAGGAUGGUGGAAUUCCCGGUGUAGCGGUGAAAUGCGUAGAGAUCGGGAGGAACAUCAGUGGCGAAGGCGGCCAUCUGGGACAACACUGACGCUGAGGCACGAAAGCGUGGGGAGCAAACAGGAUUAGAUACCCGCGUAGUCCCUGUCUCUUAUAC